RNAcentral lists this long non-coding RNA (1179 nucleotides) under Homo sapiens (human). Its description in RNAcentral is "HSALNT0294728". Lineage: Eukaryota; Metazoa; Chordata; Mammalia; Primates; Hominidae. The record is from RNAcentral.
AGACUCGCCCUUGGGUCCCUGUCUGACGAGCUCUAGGCAAUCUGCCCUCGUUCGGGACACAACCAUCGGUCUCACCCCUCAGUUUCUGCCAGAGAAAAAGGAAAAGUCACCGAGAGGCCUGACCCUGACGGGUGGGGGAGAUGCGCGUGCGGAGUAGCGGGAAGCGACUGAGGAGCGGGGAAUGGGCAGCAUUUGAAUGGAUGCGGGUGCCGCUGGCACCCGGGAAGACGCUGGGGGCCGGCGCUGUAGAGCCGGGCAUGGGCUGGGAUGUGUUUGGAUUCCAAUCCGGGCCUGACACCAGUUCAGUGACCUCGGGAAGUUCCCCAACCCUCCGGGCCUGUUUCCUCCCUCUGAAGUGGCGACAGUAGUAGAACCGACCUCGUAGGCUCAUCGGGAGGUCCUGAUGGGAGAACCCAUGCAACUUGCCACCAUAGAGCCAGGCCCGCGGCGGUUGGCGCCUGGUGGGUAUUAAAGACGAGUCGGGAAAGAAGAGCAGGUUGAUAGACUGGAUGCUGCUAUGGUAAUCUGCCUCAGGAAAAUGCCGGACUGUUGUUUGCAAGCUGGUUAAGUGAGCAAAUCUUGGGAAGAUUUCAAGGUAAGAGUUGUAACUUCGGAAGUUAGUGAUGCAAUAAGAAAUGCAAAUGCAAACUUCAAAAAUUAUGAUAUAGGUACUCUUUAAGCUGAGUAAGUUGCUCUAUUGCGUUAUCUGAAAAAAGAAAGAUGAAAUUACAGUGUGUUCUCUGGAAUUCACCUACUUAACUUACAUUCUUUCAGUUACUUCACCAUUUCUGUGAUGUAGUAGAUAGGAAGGUGCUAUUUUGCCCAUUUUAGUAACAAUAAACAAUACAGGAAAGGAUUCUUCUUUUAAUUGACACAUUGUAAUUGUACAUAUUCUAGGUUACAGUUUUGGUGUUUCCAUACAUACAAAUGUUGUAUACUGAUCAAAUCAGGGUACUUAGCAUAUCUCUCACCUCAUGCUAUUUUGUAAUAUACAAUACCUUAUUGUUAACAGCAACCCUACUGUGCAAUAAAACACCAGAACUUAUUCUUCCAAUCUAAUUGUCACUUUGUACCUGUUGACCAACCUCUCCCUAUCCUCCUUUCCUCUCUCCCCUUUCUAGUCUCAGAUAACCACUGUUCUCUCUGCUUCUAAGAUAUAAACUCUUUCUUUAAAAAAAA